This 75-nucleotide transfer RNA is filed under the name Isoptericola variabilis. RNAcentral describes it as "tRNA-Arg". It matches the Rfam family "tRNA". From Rfam's summary of the family: Transfer RNA (tRNA) molecules are approximately 80 nucleotides in length. Their secondary structure includes four short double-helical elements and three loops (D, anti-codon, and T loops). Lineage: Bacteria; Bacillati; Actinomycetota; Actinomycetes; Micrococcales; Promicromonosporaceae. RNAcentral also lists the same sequence under 3 other names. The record is from RNAcentral.
GCGCCUGUAGCUCAGUGGAUAGAGCGUCUGCCUCCGGAGCAGAAGGUCGGGGGUUCGAAUCCCUUCAGGCGCACC